GGGAGGAGUGUUGUACUUCGACAUCAUGGACAAGAAUAGUCCAGUGAACUGUAAUGACAGUCCAAUCUAGCUUCAAAUAAGCAUGGUAGAGAUAGGGAUAAGAACGUUGUCGUUCUAACUCCUGAUGGAUAAGAGUCCUUCCAAAGCAGUUGGGUGUAACUAGCAUCGAGAAUCUAGCUGGGCAUAGUUCAAGUACGUAGUCAACAAGAUAUUGAUGUUGAAUGAUCAACCCUUUCAGUAUCAUCAACCCUUUCAGCAAAGAAAGGUCAUAUUGCCUGUGACCUUGAAGGCGACACUAAGGAUGCACCUGGAGGAGGUAACAUUGAUUAUUCUGCUUUUGCAGAUACAUACAUCCUAGUGCUUAUCUCAUAUCUGUUGACUUCCACAGGAGUACAGGAGUACAGUUUUUCCGGUGAUCAUAUUUUAGUGCUUUUGCAGAUGUAUACAUUCUGUUACUGAUGAGCACGAGCAGAAUCAUAUGCC
Molecule: long non-coding RNA, 483 nt
Filed under: Setaria viridis
Lineage: Eukaryota; Viridiplantae; Streptophyta; Magnoliopsida; Poales; Poaceae
Description: long non-coding RNA (SVIR_LNC004345)
Source: RNAcentral